GGAUGAAAUAAGCUUGCUUAUUUCGUUAGUGGCGCACGGGUGAGUAAUGUAUAGCUAACCUGCCCUUUAGUGGGGGACAACAGUUGGAAACGACUGCUAAUACCCCAUACUCCUUCUUAUCAAAAGGUAAGUUGGGAAAGAUUUAUUGCUAAAGGAUGGGGCUUUAUGGUAUCAGCUAGUUGGUGGGGUAACGGCCUACCAAGGCUAUGACGCCUACCUGGUCUGAGAGGAUGAUCAGGCACACUGGAACUGAGACACGGUCCAGACUCCUACGGGAGGCAGCAGUGGGGAAUAUUGCACAAUGGGGGAAACCCUGAUGCAGCAACGCCGCGUGGAGGAUGACGCAUUUCGGUGUGUAAACUCCUUUUAUAAGGGAAGAUAAUGACGGUACCUUAUGAAUAAGCACCGGCUAACUCCGUGCCAGCAGCCGCGGUAAUACGGAGGGUGCAAGCGUUACUCGGAAUCACUGGGCGUAAAGGAUGCGUAGGCUGGAAAUCAAGUCGAGAGUGAAAUCCAACGGCUCAACCGUUGAACUGCUCUCGAAACUGGUUACCUAGAAUAUGGGAGAGGUAGAUGGAAUUGGUGGUGUAGGGGUAAAAUCCGUAGAUAUCACCAGGAAU
This 620-nucleotide ribosomal RNA is filed under the name uncultured Sulfurospirillum sp. RNAcentral's name for it is "bacterial SSU rRNA". It matches the Rfam family "Bacterial small subunit ribosomal RNA", at positions 68 to 707 of the family's 1533-position model. The record is from RNAcentral. Lineage: Bacteria; Pseudomonadati; Campylobacterota; Epsilonproteobacteria; Campylobacterales; Sulfurospirillaceae.